GUUAUUUUCAGGAUCAAGCAGCCACAGACGUUGCCUGUGCUGCACUUAAUGGCUUAAAAAUAGGGGAUAAAACACUCACAGUCAGACGUGCAACCAUCAGCGGGCAGAUGAAAUCUGAACAGGAGACCAUUAUGGCCCAAGCUCAACAACAUAUAGCUAUGCAGGGUUUUUUGAGGGCAGUGAGAGUAAUUCUUGUCCAGAUUGUGUUUGUGUUCUAAUGAAAUCGGGCAGGCUGAAUCUCAACGGGCAGAUUUGUUUGAGUAUCAAAACUUUUUUGUAAGUGAUUAAUUAAUCUUUCCUUUUUUAUUUAAUAAAAAACGGGUUGUGAUGAUGAACAUGAACAUAUAGAUGAUGAAGAAGAAGCAGACAUCAGUCAGAUCUUUGAAGAAGCUCAUCAAUUUAUUGAAGUUGUUGAACAAAAAGGUGUCUGAGCUGGAAUCUCAAAUCGAGGUUGGAUAAUGAUGAAUUGAGCCCUGAACAAGUCAAUGAUGUUAAGGACUUCAUUGGUGACUAUGUGGAACGAAAUCAGGUCAUCAUAUACUUUUUUCCUUUUCACAUUUUCUCAAUAGUUUCUUUGAGGUUCUCUCCAUUAUACCACCUUGUCAAAUUCAGGAUAAAAGAAUCUUGUGGUUUUCACUUUUCACAAAGCAUCUAACAGUAAAACCACCACAAACCAUUUCAUCUGUAGGAGGAUUUUGAUGAGUUUGAGGAUGUUGAUAUGUUAUAUAUACAACACCUUAUCAUUAGACAAAGUAGAAGCUCUAGAAGAUCUUGUUAUCAUGCAACCCUUGGUCAUGUGUUUGUAUAUCAUUGGUCAUGUGUUUGGGUGAAGGUCUGGAUGGUGGUCUGAAUGGUGCAUGUCUCAAAGUGUGUAUUCCAAUAUCAAGUUAAUUUACUUGUAUUAAUUCAU
Molecule: non-coding RNA, 910 nt
Organism: Lactuca sativa (garden lettuce)
Lineage: Eukaryota; Viridiplantae; Streptophyta; Magnoliopsida; Asterales; Asteraceae
Source: RefSeq, a predicted model, not a curated record